AGAGUUUGAUUCUGGCUCAGGAUGAACGCUGGCGGCGUGCUUAACACAUGCAAGUCGAACGGAGUAUAUUUAAAAGCUUGCCCUUUGUAUAUACUUAGUGGCGGACGGGUGAGUAACGCGUGGGCAACCUGCCUUAUACCGGGGGACAACAGCUGGAAACGGCUGCUAAUACCGCAUAAGCGCACGAAGAGGCAUCUCUUAGUGUGAAAAACUCCGGUGGUAUAAGAUGGACCCGCGUCUGAUUAGCCAGUUGGCGGUGUAACGGACCACCAAAGCGACGAUCAGUAGCCGGCCUGAGAGGGCAAACGGCCACAUUGGGACUGAGACACGGCCCAAACUCCUACGGGAGGCAGCAGUGGGGAAUAUUGCACAAUGGGGGAAACCCUGAUGCCAGCGACGCCGCGUGAGUGAAGAAGUAUUUCGGUAUGUAAAGCUCUAUCAGCAGGAAAGAAAAUGACGGUACCUGACUAAGAAGCCCCGGCUAACUACGUGCCAGCCGCAGC
This 503-nucleotide ribosomal RNA is filed under the name uncultured bacterium. RNAcentral describes it as "bacterial SSU rRNA". It matches the Rfam family "Bacterial small subunit ribosomal RNA", at positions 8 to 518 of the family's 1533-position model. The record is from RNAcentral.